RNAcentral lists this ribosomal RNA (1575 nucleotides) under Triticum aestivum (bread wheat). RNAcentral's name for it is "partial small subunit ribosomal RNA". The record is from RNAcentral. Lineage: Eukaryota; Viridiplantae; Streptophyta; Magnoliopsida; Poales; Poaceae.
AUGAGAUCUGGAGCUGACGAAAAGCCUAACACUGAGAUGGAGAGUAGGAAUCGUUCCAAUCCGAGGAAGAACAGUAGCAGUAAGUCCAAUCGAGUUGCGCCACCUGAGAGUCUAGGGCGCUUGCUGCAGCAACUCAAGGAGAAGGAAAAACUCAAGGAGGGGAAGUCGGAGGCGACGUCGGAACGAGUUAAUUCACUCCGGGAGGAAAUCAGGACGUUGCGCCUCGACCUAUUUGGUGGUCAGGGAGGAACACGCGGCAUAUCGACGCAGUCGAUGAUCCAUCCAUCGCCUCGCGAGUUCACAAAGAUGGAAGGGGAAUCUGCUUCCGGUUCCGGUAAGCGGCAGCAUCAGCUUGUUUCUUGCAGACCCCAUGAGAAUGAGAUCCGCCAGUCUCCUGCCGCCGCUCCGCCGGCGACGCCCCACCAUGAUUCAGCCAUGGAUGAGCAGCAGGUCCAUAAAAAAGUUGAUGUCUCCGGUGACGGUGAUAACAAUGAUAUGAAGAAGGAGAUGGAUAGAGGCAAAUCGGCCCAGCAAAUAGCCAAAGAGGAGGAGAUGGCCUUUGAGGCCAACAGCUUUGCCUCAUACCGUAAAAGUUGGGAAUCGAACUGGGGAGCUUGUAGCCGCGGGUUCUUCGAAGACACGACCACCGUGAGUCCCAUGCACUUUACCCACUGCACACCUGGAUGCGACCCAGGAAAUGCCGCCAUCGCUGGGGCCACCCUGCAGAUCUUCACCAUCAAGCUCGAGGAGUUAAAAGGCGGCCUUGAGUGGCCAUUGUCUGUGUAUGGUGUGGUUGCUGCGCGAGACUGCGUGGAUCACAGCCGCAACCUCCUCUUCUCUUGCGAUAGGUGGAGGUCGCAGAAGCUCAGUCAGGAAGAUCCUUUCUUGCGCUUAAUUGGCCCGUCUCGUGCCAUUGUGUUUACCGAUGAUGUUUACUUUGAAACCGAGCUAAGAGUAAAAGGCAAAACAUUGUCUCAAGAUAUAGCAUUGAUUAGUGAGAGGCGCCAUUACAGCGGAGGACGUACCAUUUCCUUCAGCAACUGCUUCUGCAGAAUAGAGUUAUGCAUGGAACGAAUUCAUGAAACUGUCCAGGCCACUAUAUUGGGUGUCCGUGUCAAAAAUGGACCAUGGCCUUUCGAUUAUGGUGGUAAAGUGGCUUGCCUCUCACCAUCGUGGACAUAUAAGGUCACUGGUGGUAAAGUCUUUUAUACUACUCAUGCCCCGUCCAUGGAAGUUGUGAUGCUUGCUUCACGUGGCAGAACAAUGCCUAAGGGUUCAUGUGGUUACCUUCGUCUAUCAAGGCAUGUAGUUUCUGUAGAACUAGAAGGAAGCCUGAAUGUUGUCAUACAAGCUUACUCAGAAUCUGGUGAUAUCACCACACAAGGUGAGGUUUCCUUCAUGCCCAAAGCUUGCAAUAUAAGUCAGGAGACAUGUUUCUUGGAUGACAGUGACCCUAAGGUGGAAGUGGAAAUUACUGUCGCUUGGUCUCUUCUUGUUUCGAACAGGCGUCAUUUGAUGAUGAAUGGAAUGGACUUUGGCGAGUUGAAGGAAGCGGUCAGUGGGAUGGGAGUUUGA